CCGGCGGGUCGGGUAGCCGCGGUAGUCCGCCUUGAGCGGAUUACCGAGGAAAGUCCGGGCUCCACAGAGCGCGGUACCGGGUAAUCCCCGGGACCGGGCGCUCCUCAGGGAGCGUUCGGGACAGAACGUGCCACAGAAACGAUACCGCCACUGGAUCUGCCUUCGGGCAGUCCAUGGGUAAGGGUGAAAUGGUGGGGUAAGAGCCCACCGGUUGUCGGGUAACCGGCAACGCCGUGGUAAACCUUACCGGGAGCAAAGCCAAGCAGCGAACCCGGCUGCUCGUCGAAUGGUUCGCGGGUAGGCUGCACGAGCGAUUCGGCAACGAAUGGCCAAGACAGAUGGCUGCCCAGACGGUAUCGGCAACGGUAUCGUCGGACAGAACCCGGCUUACAGACCCGCCGGUUCG
Molecule: RNase P RNA, 406 nt
Filed under: Spirochaetaceae bacterium
Lineage: Bacteria; Pseudomonadati; Spirochaetota; Spirochaetia; Spirochaetales; Spirochaetaceae
Description: RNase P RNA component class A
Rfam family: Bacterial RNase P class A
About the family: Ribonuclease P (RNase P) is a ubiquitous endoribonuclease, found in archaea, bacteria and eukarya as well as chloroplasts and mitochondria.
Source: RNAcentral